This 263-nucleotide ribosomal RNA is filed under the name uncultured bacterium. Its description in RNAcentral is "partial 16S ribosomal RNA". It matches the Rfam family "Bacterial small subunit ribosomal RNA", at positions 29 to 289 of the family's 1533-position model. The record is from RNAcentral.
AUUAACGCUAGCGGCAGGCAUAAUACAUGCAAGUUGAACGGCAGCACAGGUAGCAAUACCGGGUGGCGGGUGGCGCACGGGUGCGUAACACGUAUGCAACCUACCCUAUACAGGCGAAUAACCUUUAGAAAUGAGGGCUAAUACGCCGUGGUAUUAUCUUGGGGCAUCUUGAGAUAAUUAAAGAUUUAUCGGUAUAGGAUGGGCAUGCGUCCCAUUAGUUAGUUGGUAGGGUAACGGCCUACCAAGGCUAUGAUGGGUAGGGG